GACGAACGCUGGCGGCGUGCUUAACACAUGCAAGUCGAACGCUGAAGCUCAGCUUUUGUUGGGUGGAUGAGUGGCGAACGGGUGAGUAACACGUGAGUAACCUGCCUCCUUCUUUGGGAUAACGCCCGGAAACGGGUGCUAAUACUGGAUAUUCACUGGUCUUCGCAUGGGGGUUGGUGGAAAGGGUUUUUCUGGUGGGGGAUGGGCUCGCGGCCUAUCAGCUUGUUGGUGGGGUGAUGGCCUACCAAGGCUUUGACGGGUAGCCGGCCUGAGAGGGUGACCGGUCGCAUUGGGACUGAGAUACGGCCCAGACUCCUACGGGAGGCAGCAGUGGGGAAUAUUGCACAAUGGGCGCAAGCCUGAUGCAGCGACGCCGCGUGAGGGAUGGAGGCCUUCGGGUUGUGAACCUCUUUCGCUCAUGGUCAAGCCGCAACAAUGGUUGUGGUGAGGGUAGUGGGUAAAGAAGCGCCGGCUAACUACGUG
Molecule: ribosomal RNA, 483 nt
Filed under: uncultured bacterium
Lineage: Bacteria
Description: partial 16S ribosomal RNA
Rfam family: Bacterial small subunit ribosomal RNA
Source: RNAcentral